AAACCUGAGAGUUUGAUCCUGGCUCAGGACGAACGCUGGCGGCGUGCCUAACACAUGCAAGUCGAGCGGUCCGGCACUCAACUAAGUGCUUACUUAA
RNAcentral lists this ribosomal RNA (97 nucleotides) under Clostridia bacterium. Its description in RNAcentral is "partial 16S ribosomal RNA". It matches the Rfam family "Bacterial small subunit ribosomal RNA", at positions 1 to 92 of the family's 1533-position model. Lineage: Bacteria; Bacillati; Bacillota; Clostridia. The record is from RNAcentral.